This 600-nucleotide ribosomal RNA is filed under the name Moelleriella rhombispora. Its description in RNAcentral is "SSU rRNA". It matches the Rfam family "Bacterial small subunit ribosomal RNA", at positions 233 to 832 of the family's 1533-position model. The record is from RNAcentral. Lineage: Eukaryota; Fungi; Ascomycota; Sordariomycetes; Hypocreales; Clavicipitaceae.
UCUUCGGGGAUAGGUAGUAGUUAAGGUGAUGGCUUAACCAGCCUACAACUCUCGUAGUCGAAUCUGAAAGGUUGAUCGACCACAUUGGGUCUGAAAAAACCCCAAUGCAAAUUUAGUACAGCAGUGAGGAAUAUUGGUCAAUGGCCUAACGGCUGAACUGGCAACUUGGAAAAGUGACUUCUUAUUGUAGUCAAAAGAUGGUUAUGCUAGUAUAAAUAGCCCGUAAGAUAGCAUUCAAAUUGAAUAAAGCUUUGUUUAUGUAUUGAUAAUGACAAUAUAUAUAUCCUGUCUUGACUAAUUACGUGCCAGCAGUCGCGGUAAUACGUAGGAGACUAGUGUUAUUCAUAUUAAAUAGGUUUAAAGGGUACGUAGGCGGUCAAUAUAACUUCUAUAAUGUUAGUACUUGACUAGAGUUUGAUAGAAGGGGGCAGUACUUGAGGAGAAGAGAUGAAAUUCUGUCAUACCAAAGGGACUCUGUAUAGGCGAAGGCAGCCCUUUAUGUAAAAACUGACGUUGAGGGACGAGGGCACAGAGAACGAACAGGAUUAGAUACCCCAGUAGUCUUUGCAGUAAAUGAUGAAUGCCAUAGGUUUAGAUUAA